UGUGGGAGCGGGCUUGCCCGCGAUGGCAGCGUAUCAGUCACCGAAUGUAUCGGCUGAAAAAUCGCCAUCGCGGGCAAGCCCGCUCCCACA
Molecule: unclassified non-coding RNA, 90 nt
Filed under: Pseudomonas gessardii
Lineage: Bacteria; Pseudomonadati; Pseudomonadota; Gammaproteobacteria; Pseudomonadales; Pseudomonadaceae
Source: RNAcentral